RNAcentral lists this ribosomal RNA (682 nucleotides) under Escherichia coli. Its description in RNAcentral is "partial 23S ribosomal RNA". It matches the Rfam family "Bacterial large subunit ribosomal RNA", at positions 2261 to 2925 of the family's 2925-position model. Lineage: Bacteria; Pseudomonadati; Pseudomonadota; Gammaproteobacteria; Enterobacterales; Enterobacteriaceae. The record is from RNAcentral.
GUGGGUAGUUUGACUGGGGCGGUCUCCUCCUAAAGAGUAACGGAGGAGCACGAAGGUUGGCUAAUCCUGGUCGGACAUCAGGAGGUUAGUGCAAUGGCAUAAGCCAGCUUGACUGCGAGCGUGACGGCGCGAGCAGGUGCGAAAGCAGGUCAUAGUGAUCCGGUGGUUCUGAAUGGAAGGGCCAUCGCUCAACGGAUAAAAGGUACUCCGGGGAUAACAGGCUGAUACCGCCCAAGAGUUCAUAUCGACGGCGGUGUUUGGCACCUCGAUGUCGGCUCAUCACAUCCUGGGGCUGAAGUAGGUCCCAAGGGUAUGGCUGUUCGCCAUUUAAAGUGGUACGCGAGCUGGGUUUAGAACGUCGUGAGACAGUUCGGUCCCUAUCUGCCGUGGGCGCUGGAGAACUGAGGGGGGCUGCUCCUAGUACGAGAGGACCGGAGUGGACGCAUCACUGGUGUUCGGGUUGUCAUGCCAAUGGCACUGCCCGGUAGCUAAAUGCGGAAGAGAUAAGUGCUGAAAGCAUCUAAGCACGAAACUUGCCCCGAGAUGAGUUCUCCCUGAUUCCUUGAGAGUCCUGAAGGAACGUUGAAGACGACGACGUUGAUAGGCCGGGUGUGUAAGCGCAGCGAUGCGUUGAGCUAACCGGUACUAAUGAACCGUGAGGCUUAACCUUACAACGCCGAAG